AGUGAACGCUGGCGGUAGGCCUAACACAUGCAAGUCGAACGGCAGCACAGUAAGAGCUUGCUCUUACGGGUGGCGAGUGGCGGACGGGUGAGGAAUACAUCGGAAUCUACUUUUUCGUGGGGGAUAACGUAGGGAAACUUACGCUAAUACCGCAUACGACCUACGGGUGAAAGCAGGGGAUCUUCGGACCUUGCGCGAUUGAAUGAGCCGAUGUCGGAUUAGCUAGUUGGCGGGGUAAAGGCCCACCAAGGCGACGAUCCGUAGCUGGUCUGAGAGGAAGAUCGGCCACACUGGAACUGGGACACGGUCCAGACUCCUACGGGAGGCAGCAGUGGGGAAUAUUGGACAAUGGGCGCAAGCCUGGUCCAGCCAUACCGCGUGGGUGAAGAAGGCCUUCGGGUUGUAAAGCCCUUUUGUUGGGAAAGAAAAGCAGCAGGUUAAUACCCCGCUGUUCUGACGGUACCCAAAGAAUAAGCACCGGCUAACUUCGUG
Molecule: ribosomal RNA, 492 nt
Filed under: uncultured bacterium
Lineage: Bacteria
Description: partial 16S ribosomal RNA
Rfam family: Bacterial small subunit ribosomal RNA
Source: RNAcentral